RNAcentral lists this transfer RNA (73 nucleotides) under Phycisphaerae bacterium. Its description in RNAcentral is "tRNA-Ala". It matches the Rfam family "tRNA". Rfam says of the family: Transfer RNA (tRNA) molecules are approximately 80 nucleotides in length. Lineage: Bacteria; Pseudomonadati; Planctomycetota; Phycisphaerae. The record is from RNAcentral.
GGGGCUGUAGCUCAGUUGGGAGAGCGCUUGCAUGGCAUGCAAGAGGUCGUCGGUUCAAUCCCGAUCAGCUCCA